RNAcentral lists this ribosomal RNA (379 nucleotides) under uncultured eukaryote. Its description in RNAcentral is "partial 18S ribosomal RNA". It matches the Rfam family "Eukaryotic small subunit ribosomal RNA", at positions 592 to 976 of the family's 1831-position model. The record is from RNAcentral.
CAAUAGCGUAUAUUUAAGUUGUUGCAGUUAAAAAGCUCGUAGUUGGAUUUCGGAUGGGACUUGCCGGUCCGUCGUUUCGAUGUGCACUGGCCAGUCCUAUCUUGUUGUCGGGGACUAGCUCCUGGGCUUCACUGUCCGGGACUAGGAGCCGACGAAGUUACUUUGAGUAAAUUAGAGUGUUCAAAGCAAGCCUACGCUCUGAAUAUAUUAGCAUGGAAUAACACGAUAGGACUCUGGCUUAUCUUGUUGGUCUGUGAGACCAGAGUAAUGAUUAAGAGGGACAGUCGGGGACAUUCGUAUUUCAUUGUCAGAGGUGAAAUUCUUGGAUUUAUGAAAGACGAACUUCUGCGAAAGCAUUUGUCAAGGAUGUUUUCAUUAA